UCACAUAUAUAUAUACUCCCAAAAUACUAUUCACAUCAGAUUGUAGCUCAGGUACAGAUAUUUUUCGUCCGCCCUUCUGAACGUCCGAUUGAGCUCAAAUUUGGCAGUCAUGAUCAGUCUAACCUUACUUAACGAAAGAAAUUUUAAUAUUUCAGUUUCGACCCCGUUUGAUCACCGAAAGCUGUACCGAAUUGUAAUCUUUAUCAGAUAACCGUCGGAUUUAAUUUUUCACCUUCCGGGUGUCAGAAUGGCAUGAAACUUUAAAUCUAGCCUCAUAAAAAUAAUCCUAACAUAUUUUCAAAUUUUCGGAAUUUUCUGACACCGUGCAUUUUCUGCUAAAAUAUCAGCCCCGUCUAUCACAGAAAAUUCUCAAUCUUUUAUUUUCACUCCGAUUUCCGCACGAGUCAAUCCCGACAUAUAAUUUACUUGUCUAAAUCCAAUAAAAAUAGUAUCUCACACUAUUUUUAUUUAUAUUCACUAUUAUUAAAAAUCCGGUAUGCUACAC
RNAcentral lists this long non-coding RNA (505 nucleotides) under Ananas comosus (pineapple). RNAcentral describes it as "long non-coding RNA (ACOM_LNC043604)". The record is from RNAcentral. Lineage: Eukaryota; Viridiplantae; Streptophyta; Magnoliopsida; Poales; Bromeliaceae.